AAAGGAUAUCAAAUGAAAUUGAAAGAGAAAAUAAUACUAGAAAUGUACUUGACGUUUAAUCCUGUAUUAAGAUUAUUUGAUGAACGAUUUAACAAUUCGCUAGUUAUUAUAAGGAGACAAUUAGCUAAUGUUGAAGUUAAAUGCGUGAGAAAAUUAGUUGAAGCGUAUGCACUGACUGGUACGGAUACAGACAUUAAACCUAUCAGUCCUCCUCAUCAUGGCUAGUUCUCAAUCAUGAUAAAGUUCAAUAUUGCACAACUAAAACAAUGAUAAAAUUAUGAGAAAUAUAUAAAAUAAGAAAAGAAUAUUAUAAAAAUAUAAGAAUAAUAAAAAAAAUGGAAAAAUAAAAGUAUUAAGAAAAAAAAUAAAUAUAAGAAAAUAAAUAUUAACGAAAAGAAAAGAAAUAUUAAUAAAAAACAAAAAAAAAAAAUAAAAGCGAGACUAUGUAUUUUGUGUAUACAAUAGCUUAUCGUUUAUUAUUGGUGUUCUUGUUCAAAGGAAAUUUUUACAAGUUGAUAAUAAAGUUUCUUUGAAUUUUCAACGAAUCAGUAGAGUUGAUUUCGAUUUAAUUUAAUGUUCGUCGAAGGAAAUGAAGCUGCCGGCGCAUAUAAUCCACCAUGGGGGACAACGACCGUCAUCACGCUACGAGAAGCUGUGUCAACUUAACGAUUCACUACACCAUGCAUCGGCAACAGAGGAUUCGAUCUUCGUUAUCGUCAUCUUUAUUAUCGUUGCCACUCUCGAUGUCUCGAUCAUCCAUUCUACCCGCACCGCUGUCACCAACUACAUCAAUGUCGUCUGUGACAACAUCAACUUCAACUUUGUCAUCACCGUUAUCAUCGUCAUCCAUCUUUUUACCAUCGUCCGCAACAUGGUCGACAUCCAAUUUAUCGUCAUAUUCUUGGAGUGUGCAACAAACCUCGUGUUCGAGGUUAUCCUCGUUGCCAAGCGAAUUGUCGAUCAUGUCAACAAUACCCUGUCCAAGACUUGUUUCUGUGUUAGCCUGGUCUGUGACGCUUUUACUUGUUUCAUCAUGUAUCGGUUUAACGGAUGCUGGCAUCUUAAAUGGACAUCCUUUGGGUAAAAGGUCCUUUAUUGAUAUUCAAUGUAAGGGUAUAUAUGAUAAAAGUAUCUUUGCCCGGCUGGAUCGAAUCUGCGAGGAUUGUUAUAACCUGUUUCGAGAACCUCAAUUGCAUCAAUUAUGCAGGAAAAACUGCUUUACAUCAGACUACUUCAAAGGAUGCUUAGACGUAUUGUUAUUGCAAGAUGAAGUAGAAAAGAUCCAAACAUGGAUCAAGCAACUUCAUGGAGCGGAACCCGGGGUUUAGUUACCAGCAUUUACCAUCGAGCUAGUUAUUUUCUCAUCGACGCAUAUGGUUUACUUUUGAUGUCAUCUCAAGAAUUUACGAACCACAACUCAACGAUGCAUAUGAUACGUACGAUGAUACGCGAUAUUCGCGCAUGCUGUAUGUUCCUUUAGGCAAGACUGCUUUGGUACGGAAUAUUUUACAAGCUGUAUUCAAGCAUUGCUGCUUGAAGAUGAAAAGGAAAAACUUUACGAAAUGGUCGAGUACCUAGGUCGCAAGAAGUAAGAGGAAGAGAACACAGAAGCGCUUUCAUCGUGAAGGCUUUCAUUUUUAUGACAUCUGCGAUGAAUGAUUUUAAUAAGACCAACGAGAAACUAUAAGAAACAACGAGAAACGAGAAAUUAUAAGAAACAAUUUUCAUAAAAAGGUUAUUGUUACGCAGAAUUGUGAAAAACAUAUAAUAUUCGUUUAUCCUACUUCUUUUAUGAAGUCCGAAAGAAUACUCUUAAAUUCGAGCACGCAAUCAUACCUUUUCCAUUCUCUUCUAUGAUACAUCAUAUAGAACAACAAAAAUGAUAUUAUCGGAGUAACUAAUAAUUGCUAUACAUAUACACAUAUUUGUAUAUAUUAUAUGUAUAUGUGUAUUGU
Molecule: unclassified non-coding RNA, 1955 nt
Filed under: Apis florea (little honeybee)
Lineage: Eukaryota; Metazoa; Arthropoda; Insecta; Hymenoptera; Apidae
Description: ion transport peptide-like, transcript variant X3
Source: RNAcentral